AGGAGCUGCCGCGUGUCUUCCGGGAAGAGGCUCAAAAACGGCCGUCGAACUGCUGUAGAUGAAAGGUCCAAGCUGUGCAGGCCGUGCAGGUGGUGAGCGAUCACGUCUGCUGCGCGAUCAGUGAGCUCCCACGCCAUCAUGAGGUUCAGUUCCCGCAGGCGACCGGGGACCGGCAGUGCUUGACAGAGCUGGGUAACGCUGCGAUCCGUGAGCAUAGGCCAGUGCGCGAGACGCAAGGUCUCUAAGGACGGUGCCCGUCGGGCAAGAUGAAGUACCAGGGCGACGCUUGGAGGGUUCUGCUCGGGCAGCCCAGAUGCAGGUGCUGUAUCGCGGGGCACGGACUCGUCGAGAAACGACACGAAUGACCAGUCCAAGUGGCGCAGUCGGAGCGUUGGCAGGCGCUCCACCAGGGGGCCGUCCAGCGCCAGCGAACAACCGUGCGCAACAAAGACCUCGAGCCCCGGAAAACCGACACCGUGCGAGUUGCACGCUUCUUGCAACACCGUCGUCGAGAUGCGCAAACCGGGGUGCUCGGCAACGUUCAAAACUCGCAGAGGCAACCGCAGCAGAUGUGCGAAGAUUUCGGGGUGAUGGAGACAACCGCUUCCGGGUGUCGCGCGAAUAUCGAGCUCUUCUAGCAUCGGCGGGAGCGCACUGAGCAUCAACUCGUUUGUCAGUGCCUGUGGGUUGAGUUCCGCGAGUCGCAGGACUCGCAAAUGUGAGAGUGCCGGCGAGUGCAACGCAUUCCCCAAGCCCGCAGCGGUAAGGCGCCAGCAGCCGCUGAGAUCCAAGAUGCGAACGGGGCUUCGUUGCAAAUGCAGGCGACAGAUGAGCUGCUCCACACGUUGCACCAGGUUCAGGAGGACGUCGUCGCUUAUCAGGUCGCAGCUGCCGCUAAGAUCCAGCACUCGCCAAAGUGCUGGGGUGUCCUCAACGACCGCACGCCAGGUGCGGCUCACUUGACGGAGGCGGAGCAGCUCGGGAAACGACAAGUACGUGAACAAGUGCCGCAGGAUAUCGCGAGCGCUCGCCGCAUCACCGAGCGCGUUGACCGGGUGCACACGAGCGCCCGGACGAGCGCGCGGUACAACGAAGCUUGCCUCGUUGGACGACACCCCGUCGGUAUGGGACGCUUUCCCAAGCAAUUCCGGGAAUGCCGAGGAUGUUGUCUCGAGCGACAUGCGGAAAGCAACCGGUUUGGCAACGUCCGCGCCAGCGAUUCGCUGACGUUUGGGCGUUGGAGAGCAGGAGUCAUCAGGGAUCUUGUUCCAUCUUUCGGCGGGUGUUAGCGGCGAAAGAGACGUCCGAUGCUGUGCCGCCUCGGUCCAGGAUAGCGCACGAGCUUGAAGAUUCAUAACAAUCGAACUCAGCUCCUCGAUGCAUUCGUGAAAAGUCACCUCCGGAUAGGCCGGCUGAAUGAGUUCCCUCAAAAGUGGUUGAUUCUCUGCCCAGUAGAGCGCCUGCAGAAUCUGGGCAAUGUGUUUGGCGUCCGAUGCGGAAAGCACGCUGGCUUGGCAAAGCGAUUGGGCAAGGACAGCGCCGAGCGAGAGACUGUCUCCGACGUGUGCCGCUGUGGGCGAACCGCAUUCCUGGACUGUGCGAUAGAGAUUACAGAGUUCCAGCAGAUACGCUCCGGUGCGCUGGAUGUGAGCGUGAUCGUGCGAACUCGUUUGGUGCUGGGCAGCGCGCCAGGCGAGCAAGAAGCCGUCCCAUUCGGUUGGCCAUGCGAACGAAAAUCCCAGCACGUCGGCACACCAGAGUUCCACGUAGAAGAGGUCUCGCCACUCAAACUGUAGCGCAAAGAAGCGAGCGAGCUCCUCAGUGCCGGGGUUUGUCACCUCAUUGUACUUAAUGGCGAGCAUGGUAGCACCUACAGCAAGCCAGUCGGUGCGUUGCAAGCGGUGUCGUCGAGAUGUGGGGAAGCGAACAAAAGGUUCCCGCUGACUGGAGCAGAUGAUGUCGAAAUAGCUCCACGCGAGGUGCAGCGUCCGGGGCGAGAGCGCAUGUUCGUGGAUGAAUGCAGCCAUGAGACAUUUGCAACGCAGCAGGUCUGGCACACACGGCGCUGAGCUGAGACGCGAAUGCCCGCGAGGCACAUGUCCAUAAAAGGGCUGCACGGCGGUUUUGAUGGAAGCAGAGAGCGCCGCAGCGUUCGGACGCUCCGACUGAGGCAAACUCAGAUGUUUCAGAAGGUUGAACGCGCGCUCCCAAUGCUGCCAGGGUAUCUUAGGAUGACGCGUUACACCAUCGCUCUUGGAUGGCGUUGUCAUUGCAGAGAGAUUUUCUUUGGAUUCGGCUGCGUACUCACAUAGACGCUGAAUCCGCUGCUGUUGUAUGCGAAGGUGCGCCAGCGCUUCGCCACGACAGCAUCCUGCACUGAGACGAUCACCAACAACUGCAAGAUAGGGAUGCUCCAGCGCCUCCAUGGCGCUCAGACGCUUGGUCGGAUUUGGAUGCAGGAGGCGCCGCAUCAAGUCGAGCCCAUCAGAGCCGAAACACUUUUCAAAACGAGCCCGCAACGGACUGUUGGUGCUCAGGGCGGCUUCGAUGCGCGGGACCUGCAGUCCAUUGCCGAAAUGCGGCAGCCUGCUGGCUUCUGGCUGGCUAUGCCAGCCGUCAUCUAGCGGGCCACCAACGGCCUCCGCGAUAAGACGCAGCUGGUCCACUUCGCUUUGCCCACGAAAUAGGGCCCGCUCAUCCUCGUUGGCAUCGUGCACAUUGGCAACUUCCGCAAUGACGCAGGCCGCAGCCCAUAGAUCAGCAGCCGCGCUGUAUCGACGGGAUCCCAGGAGCAGUUCGGGUGCACGGUACCACAAAGUGGCUACGACCGGCGUUAGGGCUUCAAAUGUGCUUCUGCUGCUGUUUCGAUGAAGCGAAUCGCCAUCGCUGGCGUCUCCUGUCGGCUCAUAUACUUGAAGGGGCGCCUCGCGGCCGAGAGAGAAGUUGAUGAGCGCAAAUGUCUCGUGCACCGCGCACGAGCAGGACUCGUGUUUCCCUGUCUGCAUCGCGACAAUAUUCUGUGGGCGCACAUCACGAUGUACAAAUCCCUGCGUAUGACAAAACGCGAAAGCCAAUACGAGAUCAAAAGCGAAGAACCGUGUUCGCUCAAGGUCAAAGGACUGCUUGUACCAAUCAUAGCGAGCGUUAGCGUAGAAAAGCGUGAGCUUCACGCUUCCAUUGGCUCGAUCGAGUGAUCGAUGCUGCCUCGGCUCAAGAAGGAGGUAUCCGCUUUUCUGUUGCAGGUGAUAAGAAGGCACAUCGAGUCGUACUUCGAUCAAUGGGCACACAAAAUGGUGAAACAGCGGAGUCUGAGCAGCCAACCAGAGCGCGAUACCGGCUUCGCGAACUUGCUUGUAGCUUAGUCCGUACUCGUCAUCGUACGCGACCUGAUACACAUCAUCGGUGCUCUCACCAUCUGUGUUGUUCGGUGAAGGAGGCAGCGGAAUAUACACUUGACGAGUCAUGAGUGUCGCAUCGGUUCGCGAACCCGAGGCGUAUACAUUUUGGACGUAAACCGGAAACGAGAAGCACCG
RNAcentral lists this unclassified non-coding RNA (3533 nucleotides) under Cyanidioschyzon merolae strain 10D. RNAcentral's name for it is "hypothetical transcript". The record is from RNAcentral. Lineage: Eukaryota; Rhodophyta; Bangiophyceae; Cyanidiales; Cyanidiaceae.